RNAcentral lists this ribosomal RNA (2887 nucleotides) under Pseudanabaenaceae cyanobacterium LEGE 13415. RNAcentral describes it as "Bacterial large subunit ribosomal RNA". It matches the Rfam family "Bacterial large subunit ribosomal RNA". Lineage: Bacteria; Bacillati; Cyanobacteriota; Cyanophyceae; Pseudanabaenales; Pseudanabaenaceae. The record is from Rfam by way of RNAcentral.
GGUCAAGCUACAAAGGGCAGAUGGUGGAUACCUAGGCACACAGAGGCGACGAAGGACGUGACGACCGACGAUAUGCUUCGGGGAGCUGGAAGUAAGCAUUGAUCCGAAGAUUUCCGAAUAGGGCAACCUUAAACAUGACCACCUGAAUCCAUAGGGUGGAACAAGCCAACCCAGCGAAUUGAAACAUCUUAGUAGCUGGAGGAAGAGAAAGCAAACGCGAUUUCCUGAGUAGCGGCGAGCGAAACGGAAACAGCCUAAACCAGUGGAUUUAUCCAUUGGGGUUGUGGGACGACAAUGUGUAUCAGAGCGGUUAAACGAAGUAGUGAAAAGCUACACCAGAGAAGGUGAAAGUCCUGUAGUUGAAAACUUAACUGAGCUAGUCGGAUCCCGAGUAGCAUGGAGCACGUGAAAUUCCGUGUGAAUCAUCGAGGACCACCUCGAAAGGCUAAAUACUCCUGUGUGACCGAUAGUGAACUAGUACCGCGAGGGAACGGUGAAAAGAACCCCGGGAGGGGAGUGAAAUAGAACAUGAAACCAUCUGCUUACAAGCAAUGGGAGGACGAUUCAACGUCUGACCGUGUGCCUGUUGAAGAAUGAGCCGGCGACUUAUAGGAACAGGUAGAUUAAGGCGGAGAUGCCGAAGUCAAAGGGAAACCGAGUCUGAAGAGGGCGAAUUGAUCUGUUUUUAUAGACCCGAACCCCGGUGAUCUAACCAUGUCCAGGAUGAAGCUUGGGUAACACCAAGUGGAGGUCCGAACCGACUGAUGUUGAAAAAUCAGCGGAUGAGGUGUGGUUAGGGGUGAAAUGCCAAUCGAACCGGGAGCUAGCUGGUUCUCCCCGAAAUGUGUUGAGGCGCAGCGGUUAGAGUUUAAGUCUGGGGGUAAAGCACUGAUUCGGUGCGGGCUGGGAGACCGGUACCAAAUCGAGUCAAACUCAGAAUACCAGAUGUAGAUCUAGCCAGUGAGACGGUGGGGGAUAAGCUUCAUCGUCAAGAGGGAAACAGCCCAGACCAUCAGCUAAGGUCCCCAAAUCACAUCUCAGUGGUAAAGGAGGUGGGAAUGCAGAGACAACCAGGAGGUUUGCCUAGAAGCAGCCAUCCUUGAAAGAGUGCGUAAUAGCUCACUGGUCAAGCGUUCCUGCGCCGAAAAUGAACGGGACUAAGAUGUGUACCGAAGCUAUGGACUUGUACUUGUACAAGUGGUAGGGGAGCGUUCUGUGGUAGUGAGAAGCAUCAGCGGCAAGCAGGUGUGGACGAAGCAGAAGUGAGAAUGUCGGCUUGAGUAGCGCAAACAUUGGUGAGAAUCCAAUGCCCUGAAAUCCUAAGGGUUCCUCCGGAAGGCUCGUCCGCGGAGGGUGAGUCGGGACCUAAGGCGAGGUCGAAAGACGUAGUCGAUGGAUAACUGGUGAAGAUUCCAGUACUCGAUUCAAAUUGUGACGGGGGACGGAGAAGGCUAAUCUAGCUCCAUGUUGGUUAGGAGUUCAAGCUAACGAGGCUGUGAGAGGUGGCGGAAACACCUUGAGCUGAGUGGUGAGUACGAGGGUCUACGGACUCGAAGUAGAUGAGGUCAGGCUUCCAAGAAAAUCCCGGAUCACGCUAAUUUGAAUCACCCGUACCCGAAACCGACACAGGUAGGAUAGUUGAGAAAACUCAAGGGCGCGAGAUAACUCUCUCUAAGGAACUCGGCAAAAUGACCCCGUAACUUCGGGAGAAGGGGUGCCACCGCGAGGUGGUCGCAGUGAAGAGGCCCAAGCGACUGUUUACCAAAAACACAGGUCUCCGCUAAGUUGCAAAACGAUGUAUGGGGGCUGACGCCUGCCCAGUGCCGGAAGGUUAAAGAAGUCGGUCAGGGAGUUUACUCCUGAAGCUGGCGACUGAAGCCCCGGUGAACGGCGGCCGUAACUAUAACGGUCCUAAGGUAGCGAAAUUCCUUGUCGGGUAAGUUCCGACCCGCACGAAAGGCGUAACGAUUUGGGCGCUGUCUCGGAGAGAGGCUCGGCGAAAUAGGAUUGUCUGUGAAGAUACGGACUACCUGCACCUGGACAGAAAGACCCUAUGAAGCUUUACUGUAGCCUGGAAUUGGGUUCGGGCUUUAACUGCGCAGGAUAGGUGGGAGGCUAUGAAGGUGUCCUUGUGGGGACACUGGAGCCAACGGUGAGAUACCACUCUGUUAAGGCUAGAAUUCUAACUUGUGCCCGUGAUCCGGGACGAGAACAGUUUCAGGUGGGCAGUUUGACUGGGGCGGUCGCCUCCUAAAUGGUAACGGAGGCGCGCAAAGGUUCUCUCAGGCUGGUUGGAAAUCAGCCGUAGAGUGUAAAAGCACAAGAGAGCUUGACUGUGAGAGAAACACCUCGAGCAGGGACGAAAGUCGGCUUUAGUGAUCCGACGGCAGAGCGUGGAAUCGCCGUCGCUAAACGGAUAAAAGUUACUCUAGGGAUAACAGGCUGAUCUCCCCCAAGAGUUCACAUCGACGGGGAGGUUUGGCACCUCGAUGUCGGCUCAUCGCAACCUGGGGCGGUAGUACGUCCCAAGGGUUGGGCUGUUCGCCCAUUAAAGCGGUACGUGAGCUGGGUUCAGAACGUCGUGAGACAGUUCGGUCCAUAUCCGGUGCAGGCGCAAGAGUAUUGAGAGGAGUCUUCCUUAGUACGAGAGGACCGGGAAGAACGCACCGCUGGUGUACCAGUUAUCGUGCCAACGGUAGACGCUGGGUAGCCAAGUGCGGAGUGGAUAACCGCUGAAAGCAUCUAAGUGGGAAGCCCACCUCAAGAUGAGUACUCUCAUGGUGUUAAACCAGUAAGGUCACGGGGAGAACACCCGUUGAUAGGCGGUAGGUGGAAGUGUGGUAACACAUGCAGCCGAGCCGUACUAAUAGACCGAGGGCUUGACCUC